RNAcentral lists this ribosomal RNA (3084 nucleotides) under Providencia huaxiensis. Its description in RNAcentral is "23S ribosomal RNA". It matches the Rfam family "Bacterial large subunit ribosomal RNA". Lineage: Bacteria; Pseudomonadati; Pseudomonadota; Gammaproteobacteria; Enterobacterales; Morganellaceae. The record is from RNAcentral.
GGUUAAGCGACUAAGCGUACACGGUGGAUGCCUAGGCAAUCAGAGGCGAUGAAGGACGUGCUAAUCUGCGAUAAGCGUCGGUAAGGUGAUAUGAACCGUUACAACCGACGAUUUCCGAAUGGGGAAACCCAGUGCAAUUCGUUGCACUAUCGUUUGAUGAAUACAUAGUCAAACGAAGCGAACCGGGGGAACUGAAACAUCUCAGUACCCCGAGGAAAAGAAAUCAACCGAGAUUCCCCUAGUAGCGGCGAGCGAACGGGGAGCAGCCCAGAGUCUUAAUCAGCAUUAGCAUCAGGAGAACGGUCUGGAAAGUCCGGCAGUAAAGGGUGAUAGCCCCGUAUCCGAAGGUGUUAGUGUUGUGAACUCGACGAGUAGGGCGGGACACGUGUUAUCCUGUCUGAAUAUGGGGGGACCAUCCUCCAAGGCUAAAUACUCCUGAUUGACCGAUAGUGAACCAGUACCGUGAGGGAAAGGCGAAAAGAACCCCGGCGAGGGGAGUGAAAUAGAACCUGAAACCGUGUACGUACAAGCAGUGGGAGCCCCAUCACUCAAGUGCCUCGGCAAUUGAGUGAGGGUGUAAAACCAUCACAAUAACAGCGCAGGAUUUGCCAACAAGAUUGGCUGAUUUUUUCAAGCCGCAGCGCAGUGGACAUCGAAGUCCAUGAGCAGCGGAAGUUAAAAAAUCGGGCAAGAUUGGCCGCAAAGACAAGCGGGACAUUUGAGGAUGGGGUGACUGCGUACCUUUUGUAUAAUGGGUCAGCGACUUAUAUUCUGUAGCAAGGUUAACCGUAUAGGGGAGCCGUAGGGAAACCGAGUCUUAACUGGGCGAAUAAGUUGCAGGGUAUAGACCCGAAACCCGGUGAUCUAGCCAUGGGCAGGUUGAAGGUUGGGUAACACUAACUGGAGGACCGAACCGACUAAUGUUGAAAAAUUAGCGGAUGACUUGUGGCUGGGGGUGAAAGGCCAAUCAAACCGGGAGAUAGCUGGUUCUCCCCGAAAGCUAUUUAGGUAGCGCCUCGUGAACUCAUCUUCGGGGGUAGAGCACUGUUUCGACUAGGGGGUCAUCCCGACUUACCAACUCGAUGCAAACUACGAAUACCGAAGAAUGUUAUCACGGGAGACACACGGCGGGUGCUAACGUUCGUCGUGAAGAGGGAAACAACCCAGACCGCCAGCUAAGGUCCCAAAGUCAUAGUUAAGUGGGAAACGAAGUGGGAAGGCUCAGACAGCCAGGAUGUUGGCUUAGAAGCAGCCAUCAUUUAAAGAAAGCGUAAUAGCUCACUGGUCGAGUCGGCCUGCGCGGAAGAUGUAACGGGGCUAAACUAUGCACCGAAGCUGCGGCAGCGAUAUUUAGAUAUUGUUGGGUAGGGGAGCGUUCUGUAAGCCUGUGAAGGUGUACUGUGAGGUAUGCUGGAGGUAUCAGAAGUGCGAAUGCUGACAUAAGUAACGAUAAUGCGGGUGAAAAACCCGCACGCCGGAAGACCAAGGGUUCCUGUCCAACGUUAAUCGGGGCAGGGUGAGUCGACCCCUAAGGCGAGGCAGAAAUGCGUAGUCGAUGGGAAACGGGUUAAUAUUCCCGUACUGGUGAUAAUUGCGAUGGGGGGACGGAGAAGGCUAGGCUAUCCGGGCGACGGUUGUCCCGGUUUAAGAAUGUAGGCAGGUGAAUUAGGCAAAUCCGGUUCACUACAUGCUGAGGUUCGAUGACGAGUCACUACGGUGAUGAAGUAGCUCAUGCCCCGCUUCCAGGAAAAGCCUCUAAGCUCUAGAUUAUCAUUAAUCGUACCCCAAACCGACACAGGUGGUCAGGUAGAGAAUACUCAGGCGCUUGAGAGAACUCGGGUGAAGGAACUAGGCAAAAUGGUGCCGUAACUUCGGGAGAAGGCACGCUGGCGCUAGGUGAAGUCCCUCGCGGAUGGAGCUGAAGCCAGUCGCAGAUACCAGCUGGCUGCAACUGUUUAUUAAAAACACAGCACUGUGCAAACACGAAAGUGGACGUAUACGGUGUGACGCCUGCCCGGUGCUGGAAGGUUAAUUGAUGGGGUUAUCCGUAAGGAGAAGCUCUUGAUCGAAGCCCCAGUAAACGGCGGCCGUAACUAUAACGGUCCUAAGGUAGCGAAAUUCCUUGUCGGGUAAGUUCCGACCUGCACGAAUGGCGUAAUGAUGGCCAGGCUGUCUCCACCCGAGACUCAGUGAAAUUGAACUCGCUGUGAAGAUGCAGUGUACCCGCGGCAAGACGGAAAGACCCCGUGAACCUUUACUAUAGCUUGACACUGAACAUUGAGCCUUGAUGUGUAGGAUAGGUGGGAGGCUUCGAAGCGUGGACGCCAGUCUGCGUGGAGCCAACCUUGAAAUACCACCCUUUAAUGUUUGAUGUUCUAACGUUGCCCCAUUAUCUGGGGUGCGGACAGUGUCUGGUGGGUAGUUUGACUGGGGCGGUCUCCUCCCAAAGAGUAACGGAGGAGCACGAAGGUUGGCUAAGCAUGGUCGGACAUCAUGCGGUUAGUGCAAAGGCAUAAGCCAGCUUGACUGCGAGAGUGACGGCUCGAGCAGGUACGAAAGUAGGUCUUAGUGAUCCGGUGGUUCUGAAUGGAAGGGCCAUCGCUCAACGGAUAAAAGGUACUCCGGGGAUAACAGGCUGAUACCGCCCAAGAGUUCAUAUCGACGGCGGUGUUUGGCACCUCGAUGUCGGCUCAUCACAUCCUGGGGCUGAAGUAGGUCCCAAGGGUACGGCUGUUCGCCGUUUAAAGUGGUACGCGAGCUGGGUUUAGAACGUCGUGAGACAGUUCGGUCCCUAUCUGCCGUGGGCGUUGGAAGAUUGAAAGGGGCUGCUCCUAGUACGAGAGGACCGGAGUGGACGCACCACUGGUGUUCGGGUUGUCAUGCCAAUGGCAUUGCCCGGUAGCUAAGUGCGGAAGAGAUAACCGCUGAAAGCAUCUAAGCGGGAAACUUGCCUUGAGAUGAGUCUUCCCUGACCCUUUAAGGGUCCUAAAGGAACGUUUAAGACUAAGACGUUGAUAGGUUGGGUGUGUAAGCAUAGCGAUAUGUUGAGCUAACCAAUACUAAUGAACCGUGAGGCUUAACCUG